This 372-nucleotide unclassified non-coding RNA is filed under the name Puccinia novopanici. Lineage: Eukaryota; Fungi; Basidiomycota; Pucciniomycetes; Pucciniales; Pucciniaceae. The record is from RNAcentral.
GAUUUUUUUGAAAUGUUGAAAAAAUAUGCCUAAAUUUUUUUACCAUGUAAAAGUAACCGGGGUGGAUGUACUUGCGUUUGCUGAAUGCCAUAUGCUAAAUUUUUUUACCAUGUAAAAUUUGUUAAACAAUACUGUAAAUUUUUUUACCAUGUAAAAUUUGUUAAACAAUACUGUAAAUUUUUUUACCAUGUAAAAUUUGCUGGUGUGGACUUAGAGAAAUUUUAUACUGUAAAUUUUUUUACCUUGUAGAUUUUGCUCUACAGGGUGUGGGGUGGACUUGACUUCUUUUUUUUUUUUUAAUGAACUUCAGGGCUAGUUUCUAGUGUGUUAGCCAAGGACCAUAUUUUUGUGUUACACUUUCAGCUUCUCAGC